GGAACGUUAUAAAUACCAAAAUUGGAUUGAUACAGAAAAGAUUAGCAUAGCCCCUGUGCAAAUAUGACAUGCAAAUUUCUGAAUCAUUCCUUUUUUUA
Molecule: small nuclear RNA, 98 nt
Organism: Sarcophilus harrisii (Tasmanian devil)
Lineage: Eukaryota; Metazoa; Chordata; Mammalia; Dasyuromorphia; Dasyuridae
Source: Ensembl